GAUGAACGCUAGCUACAGGCCUAACACAUGCAAGUCGAGGGGCAGCGGGAAGGAAGCUUGCUUUCUUCGCCGGCGACCGGCGCACGGGUGCGUAACGCGUAUCGAACCUACCCUUUACUCGGGAACAGCCUUGCGAAAGCAAGAUUAAUGCCCGAUGUUCCGCGUUUGCCGCAUGGCAAAUUCGGCAAAGAUUUAUUGGUAAAGGAUGGCGAUGCGUCCCAUUAGUUAGUUGGCGGGGUAACGGCCCACCAAGACGACGAUGGGUAGGGGUUCUGAGAGGAAGGUCCCCCACACUGGUACUGAGACACGGACCAGACUCCUACGGGAGGCAGCAGUGAGGAAUAUUGGUCAAUGGGCGCAGGCCUGAACCNGCCAAGUAGCGUGCAGGAAGACGGCCC
This 398-nucleotide ribosomal RNA is filed under the name uncultured bacterium. RNAcentral describes it as "bacterial SSU rRNA". It matches the Rfam family "Bacterial small subunit ribosomal RNA", at positions 28 to 417 of the family's 1533-position model. The record is from RNAcentral.